RNA transcript from Mastomys coucha (southern multimammate mouse), 1245 nucleotides. It is a transcript of the gene named high mobility group protein B1 pseudogene, with no coding region annotated. Lineage: Eukaryota; Metazoa; Chordata; Mammalia; Rodentia; Muridae. The record is from RefSeq and is a predicted model, not a curated record. The transcript has a single exon.
CCAUAGAGACAGCGCCAGGGCAAGCGAGAGCCGGACGGGCACUGGGCGACUCUGUGCCUCUCGGAGGAAAAUCAACUAAACAUGGGCAAAGGAGAUCCUAAGAAGCCUAGAGGCAAAAUGUCCUCAUAUGCAUUCUUUGUGCAAACUUGCUGGGAGGAGCACAAGAAGAAGCACCCGGAUGCUUCUGUCAACUUCUCAGAGUUCUCCAAGAAGUGCUCAGAGAGGUGGAAGACCAUGUCUGCUAAAGAAAAGGGGAAAUUUGAAGAUACGGCAAAGGCUGACAAGGCUCGUUAUGAAAGAGAAAUGAAAACCUACAUCCCCUCCAAAGGGGAGACCAAAAAGAAGUUCAAGGACCUCAAUGCACCCAAGAGGCCUCCUUCGGCCUUCUUCUUGUUCUGUUCUGAGUACCGCCCUAAAAUCAAAGGCGAGCAUCCUGGCUUAUCCAUUGGUGAUGUUGCAAAGAAACUAGGAGAGAUGUGGAACAAUACUGCAGCUGAUGACAAGCAGCCCUAUGAGAAGAAGGCUGCCAAGCUGAAGAAGUACGAGAAGGAUAUUGCUGCCUACAGAGCUAAAGGAAAACCUGAUGCAGCGAAAAAGGGGGUGGUCAAGGCUGAAAAGAGCAAGAAAAAGAAGGAAGAGGAAGAUGAUGAGGAGGAUGAAGAGGAUGAGGAAGAGGAGGAGGAGGAGGAGGAGGAAGACAAAGAUGAAGAAGAUGAUGAUGAUGAAUAAGUUGGUUCUAGCGCAGUUUUUUUUUCUUGUCUAUAAAGCAUUUAACCCCCCUGUACACAACUCACUCCUUUUAAAGAAAAAAAUUGAAAUGUAAGGCUGUGUAAGAUUUGUUUUUAAACUGUACAGUGUCUUUUUUUGUAUAGUUAACACACUACCGAAUAUGUCUUUAGAUAGCCCUGUCCUGGUGGUAUUUUCAAUAGCCACUAACCUUGCCUGGUACAGUCUGGGGGUUGUAAAUUGGCAUGGAAAUUUAAAGCAGGUUCUUGUUGGUGCACAGCACCAACAAGUUAUAUAUGGGGACAGUAGUUUGGUUUUUGUUUUGUUUUGUUUUGUUUUUUGCCUUUUGGUUUUACUUUUGGGUUGUUUUUUUUUUCAUCUUCAGUUGUCUCUGAUGCAGCUUAUACGAAGAUAAUUGUUGUUCUGUUAACUGAAUACCACUCUGUAAUUGCAAAAAAAAAUUGCGGCUGUUUUGUUGACAUUCUAAAUGCUUCUAAGUAAACACAAUUUUUUUUAUUA